Long non-coding RNA from Catharus ustulatus (Swainson's thrush), 1119 nucleotides. The record is from Ensembl. Lineage: Eukaryota; Metazoa; Chordata; Aves; Passeriformes; Turdidae.
AUGCUCCCAGUAUGGCACUGGGCUGCUCCCAGUACACCCCAGCCCCCCCUGACGCCCCCGUUUCCCCCCCAGGCCCAGUCCCGGCGCGUGGCCGCGCUCCAGGCGGCGCUGGCGGCGCUGGGGGACACUGGGGGUGACACUGGUGACACUGGGGGUGACACUGGUGGUGACACUGGGGGGGACAUGGCGGAUCUGCCCCAGUUCCACCGCGCCGUGCUGGGGCUGCGCCGCGCCCGCGCCGUGCUGCAGCGCUGCCUGGCUCAGGGCGCCCCGCGGGUUCUGGGAUCUCUGGGGUCUCUGGGGGUCUCUGGGGUCUCUCUAAUGGGUCUGGGGUCCGCAGCGCUGCCUGGCCCAGGGGGCCCCGCGGGUUCUGGGGGCUCUGGGGGUCUCUGGGGGUCCCUGGGGUCUCUGGGGGGGUCUCUGGGUCUCUCUAAUGGGUCUGGGGUCGGCAGCGCUGCCUGGCCCAGGGCGCUCCGUGGGUUCUGGGGUCCCUGGGGGCUCUGGGGGGGUCUCUGGGGUCUCUCUAAUGGGUCUGGGGUCUGCAGCGCUGCCUGGCCCAGGGCGCCCCGUGGGUUCUGGGGUCUCUGGGGGUCUCUGGGGGUCUCUGGGGUCUCUAAUGGGUCUGGGGUCCGCAGCGCUGCCUGGCCCAGGGCGCUCCGUGGGUUCUGGGGGCUCUGGGGGGGGCUCUGGGGGGGUCUCUGGGGUCUCUCUAAUGGGUCUGGGGUCUGCAGCGCUGCCUGGCCCAGGGCGCCCCGUGGGUUCUGGGGUCUCUGGGGGUCUCUGGGGGUCUCUGGGGUCUCUCUAAUGGGUCUGGGGUCGGCAGCGCUGCCUGGCCCAGGGCACCCCGCGGGUUCUGGGGGCUCUGGGGGUCUCUGGGGGUCUCUGGGGGUCUCUGGGGUCUCUCUAAUGGGUCUGGGGUCCGCAGCGCUGCCUGGCUCAGGGCGCCCCGCGGGUUCUGGCCCCGGGCCGGGUGAUCGUGGUGAGCACGGCGAGGCACCGCAACGCGCUGGGGCUGGUGCUGCAGGUGAGCUCCGUGGGCUCUGGCCGUGUUUUCACCCCCCCAAAUCCCCCCCACACCUGUCCCCAGGUGAGCUCCGUGGGCUCUGGCCGUGUUUUCAC